AACGAACGCUGGCGGCAUGCCUAACACAUGCAAGUCGAACGAGACCUUCGGGUCUAUUGGCGCACGGGUGCGUAACGCGUGGGAACCUGCCCUUAGGUUCGGAAUAACUCCCCGCAAGGGGUGCUAAUACCGGAUAAUGUCUUCGGCCCAAAGAUUUAUCGCCUUUGGAUGGGCCCGCGUUGGAUUAGCUAGUUGGUAGGGUAAAAGCCUACCAAGGCGACGAUCCAUAGCUGGUCUGAGAGGAUGAUCAGCCACACUGGGACUGGGACACGGCCCAGACUCCUACGGGAGGCAGGAGUGGUGAAUAUUGGACAACGGGCGAGAGCCUGAGCCAGCAAGGCCGCGUGAGUGAGGAAGGCCUUAGGGUUGUAAAGCUCUUUUAACCGGGAUGAUAAUGACAGUACCGGGAGAAUAAGCGCCGGCUAACUCCGUG
Molecule: ribosomal RNA, 433 nt
Filed under: uncultured bacterium
Lineage: Bacteria
Description: partial 16S ribosomal RNA
Rfam family: Bacterial small subunit ribosomal RNA
Source: RNAcentral